UACAUGUCAAAGAAACAUAUAUGAUUAUUUCAUUUGGGUUCCCAAGUAGAACCCCAGUUACAACAAAUCCAUUCAGUAGCUUCAAGCCAACUACAUAUCUAUAAAUAUUUAAAUACCCUUUAUCUGACUAGACAAAAUACAGAAAAUACAUAUUGUGUGCCUGAAUUCUUGAUACUAUGGGUCACAAGGCUAUAUAAGACAUACAACAAGUGCUUAUGUACAAAUAUCAAAUGAAUACAGUACAAGGAGGCUUACAAUUUGAGUGCUCUCCUUUUUCAUUUAGAUUUCCUUUCCUAGAACCUCCAUACGUAAAAUCACAACUAAAAUACAGUUAGCACCCCAAAAUUUGUUGGGUUGUUGAGGUUUGCACCCUAAUGUCUAAAAAGUAUUCAAGUGCACUCCAAGCCGAGGUGAAGCAACUCUUUUGUAUUACCCUUGGGGACGAGAAGAUUCAAAGGAGGGUGCAUUUUGCUUAGCAGAAAAGAACCUUGGGAUGCACUUAGAUACCUUUUUAACAUUGGGGGUGCAAUCUCAAUAACCCUAUAAACUUUGGGCCACAAACAUUAUAUUUGUCAUAAAAUCACUAAUAAAACUUCGGACCCUGCAACGGCCAAGGAGAUUACGCCAUUUAAAU
Molecule: long non-coding RNA, 634 nt
Filed under: Panax ginseng (ginseng)
Lineage: Eukaryota; Viridiplantae; Streptophyta; Magnoliopsida; Apiales; Araliaceae
Description: long non-coding RNA (PGIN_LNC006814)
Source: RNAcentral